RNAcentral lists this unclassified non-coding RNA (1773 nucleotides) under Mycoplasma bradburyae. RNAcentral's name for it is "Mycoplasma sp. T158T partial 16S-23S ribosomal RNA intergenic spacer". Lineage: Bacteria; Bacillati; Mycoplasmatota; Mollicutes; Mycoplasmatales; Mycoplasmataceae. The record is from RNAcentral.
CUAUGGAGUAUAUUAAUACACUAACACGAUAUACACCUGUUACAUAUAACGGUGAAAUAAUAAAAUCCAACAAAAAGGUUAAACCCAUUAAAGCAAAUUUAUUAACUAAAAGUUGUUGGUCAGAUUCUGUUCAGUUAUCAAGGGGCAUUUAAUAUUUUUAUCAUUAGAAACCCUCUUAUUCACCGGAUCAAACCGGUGUUUUUUUUAUUAUAUUUACCGAUAAUUUUUAAUAAUUUGAUAAAGAUCAAGUUAUUAAAAAUUAUUUUUUUAGUCUUUUAUUAGAAAAAUUGUUACUAGAUUUUUAUGAAAAGUGUAUUAUAAUGAAAUUGUUAUAACUUAUUUAAGCUGUAUCAAUAAAGAGGAGUUUAAUAUAAUAUGAAAUCACUACUUUUAAUGUCGAUAUUAUAAAACACUUGAUCACCAGUCGAUUAAGUAAAUGUAUAAAAAUACAUCUAAAUUAAUAUUUAAAAGUAGUUGAAAAACUCUUUAAAAGAGCAUUAUGUUAUUCCAGUCAAUGUUUUGAAUACAUUAAAUUAUUCCUUGAAUGCAAAUGUGUAUAAAAACAUAAAAAGUGGUUAUAUUAUCAUGAAAAGAAUUUUAAGUUUUUUUAGUUACCGUGGGUUUGUUUUAAACAUUAUAAUGUUGGUAAGCUUGAUUGUUUUUAUUGCGGUCUAUGUUUACUUAUCAAAUAUUGAUCCGAAUCAGUUAGAUCAUAUGAAUGAAAAUAAAUCACAAAAUGGCAUUCUUUUUAUUAAUGCAUCAAUUGCUUUUUUAAUAAUUGGGCUAGCUGGUAUAGGGAUUACUUUUGGAUUAAAUCUGGUUUAUUGAAUUAAUAAAGUUAGUCUUAGAAAAAUUAUUAAAACAGAAACUAAUAUUGAUUCUUGAUUGGUAAUUCUAUCAAUAAUUCCGUUAAUUGGUGUUGUAGUAGAUUUCCUUAUUUUUAAGAAAACGGCAAAUAAAUUUUCUGAUCGAAUCAUUAGACCGAAUAAUUUAGCGACGAAAAAUUUAUUUAACUGAAUGUCAAUUACGCAAAUAUUAUUUUCAAUUAUUAUUUCAAUAUUAUUGAUAGUUAAUGUUAUUUAUUUAAAUACCAAUUCCUUGAGUAAUUUAGGAUCAAUAAAAUUUGUUUCGUUUAUUGUUUAUGCGCCGAUAUCUUAUGUAACCGGAAUAAUAUUAUUAGUAACUCUAGUUGUUGCGACUGUUAAAUUCUUUAGUCGAAUUAUUAAAACAAAAAAAUUAAAGAAAGAAUUAAGAAUUUCAUCUAAAUCAGAAUAUUUUGGUCAAAUAUUUCUUCCUUGAUUAUUAACUGAAUACAGACUAAAAAAAGCGAAUUACAUUUCGUUACAAGAUAUGGAUAAUAAUUACCAAGUUUGAAAAUAAUAAGAAUGCAUCUCGGAUGCAUUCUUGUUUUUAUAUACAAGAUAAAAAGAAGUUAAUAACAAGAAAACUCUUAAAUCUUAUUAAAAAUUGCGAUCCUUUUAUUUAUAUAAAUAAUGUUUAGAAUCCUGUAUUUUCUAGGGUUUAUAAGAUCUUGUAUUUUCAAUACUUAUAAAAAAUAAUAGAUAAAAAUUUUGAUAAAAAAACUAAAAAUAAAAAAAUAUUUAAAAAAAAUAUUGUCAUAUUUGGUUUUUUGUGUUAUACUUUUAAAGGCUUUAAAUAGCUAACAUUGUUCUUUGAAAACUGAAUACGACAAAUCUUUCUAGUCCGAAAUUUGAUUAAAGUAUCAAAUCAAAUUUCAAUAAUAUAGAUUCAAAAAUAGCUAAUGGAUCAAAU